GGAGUAGUAGCUUAGCGGUAGAGCGCUUGCCUCAUGAAUGAGGUACUGGGUUGGAUUCCUAGCACCACA
This 69-nucleotide transfer RNA is filed under the name Marmota monax (woodchuck). RNAcentral's name for it is "tRNA.SeC". Lineage: Eukaryota; Metazoa; Chordata; Mammalia; Rodentia; Sciuridae. The record is from RNAcentral.